Molecule: ribosomal RNA, 243 nt
Filed under: uncultured bacterium
Lineage: Bacteria
Description: partial 16S ribosomal RNA
Rfam family: Bacterial small subunit ribosomal RNA
Source: RNAcentral
GACGAACCGUGCAAACGUUGUUCGGAAUCACUGGGCUUAAAGGGCGCGUAGGCGGGCCAGCCAGUCUGUGGUGAAAGCCUCCAGCUUAACUGGAGAAGUGCCGUGGAUACUGCUGGCCUCGAGGAGGGUAGGGGCAUCUGGAACGGUCGGUGGAGCGGUGAAAUGCGUUGAUAUCGACCGGAACUCCGGUGGCGAAGGCGAGGUGCUGGGCCCUUUCUGACGCUGAGUGCGCGAAAGCCAGGG